RNAcentral lists this ribosomal RNA (247 nucleotides) under uncultured bacterium. RNAcentral describes it as "partial small subunit ribosomal RNA". It matches the Rfam family "Bacterial small subunit ribosomal RNA", at positions 26 to 285 of the family's 1533-position model. The record is from RNAcentral.
AGAAUCAACGCUGGCGGCGCGCUUAACACAUGCAAGUCGCACGAGAAAGUGGAGCAAUCCAUGAGUAAAGUGGCGUACGGGUGAGUAACACGUGGAUCAUCUACCUUUUAGUGGGGAAUAACCUCCGGGAAACUGGAGACAAUACCGCAUAAGCCCGUGUAGAGGAAAGCCGAAAGGCGCUGAAAGAGGAGUCCGCGGCUGAUUAGCUAGUUGGCGGGGUAACGGCCCACCAAGGCGAAGAUCGGUA